CAGCUAACUAAAGUUGUAUAUUUCUGUGGUGCCACAGGCGCGGCUGUUAUAAUGACGGAGAGUUGCGGGCGUGAGCCGAGAGAAAAGUGAUAAUGGCAGGCAGGCAGGCGACCCUCUCAAGAGUCGGUGGUUCGGGGGAAAGAAAAAAAGGCGUGGCGCGGUGCUUGCGGUCAGAAAGAGAGAAUUAAGAGAUAACAGCUUAUUUGGCAGAAAGUGAUUAGGCCGAGGGAGAGAAAGAUAUCCUCUUGAGAUAACACGAGAGAAUAGAGAAUAAAGUGCGAGAGGUGGCGGCAGCAGCCAGUCCUGUGUUCCUGAUCUGACAAGAACACGUCGAGAGCGCGACUGGAACUCUCUGCCAUGUAAAAGCCUUGUGCGAGUCUACAUUUACUUAUGAAGACUCAAUCAAUCGUGGACAUGUUAGCUGUUUAUGUUGCGGUGGGCUCUCGACGAGACUGUACUGCUCCAAAGCUGUGAACGCGUAGUUGCUGUUUUACAUAUGUACAAGCCUGGAGAGACACACAACAUCUUGGGCGAUAGAUGGUUGCGAGUCCUGGUCGAGAGCAGUACCGCUUCAGGUCUUGAACGUGUUGGGGGUUGGUGUUGUUGCCGCCGUUUGCGGAUCGCAGAAUAGUCGAGAGCUCGAGAGAACACUAGCCUGUUAUUCCUGCCAAGCUGCCCACGCUGCUGUGCCUUGCUGUGUUCACUGAACGAGUUUUGGAUGAACAGCUGUUUGGCACGUAUAACAUUUGAAGUGGGUAGUGCAUGCUUUUACACGAUUACAGUCUGUUUUUCAUUAAUUACAAUAAAUUUUUUCGAAAAUAUGCUGUUUUUUAUCAAAAUAAAGACUGUAUUAGUGUAAAAUUAUAUAGACCAGCUACAAGUUUAGAUAGUGCCAUCCCAUGGCAGCACAUCCAUGAAAGAGUGUUACAAGAACACCACUGCAUGAACAGGAAAUACUAUUUUUUCUUUUCUUUUUUUUUUUUCACUAAUUAUGUUAAUUUCUUUUGGUUAAUGAAAUAAUUUUUUUAAUUAUUAUAACUAACGCACUUUUAAGAUUCAACUUUUCUGAUAAGAGUCCUAAGGUUCUUUAUGGGAUUCUAAAUUUUCUUCUACAGUAAUUAUUUAUCCAUGGGAUAGUGCUAACGAAAACUUGCAAUUUUUUUUUUUUUUCUUAUUCAUUCGGGCAACAGUCAUAAUUACUAUAAAGUGGAUUAAAACGGUUUUAUUAUUGAA
Molecule: long non-coding RNA, 1233 nt
Organism: Copidosoma floridanum
Lineage: Eukaryota; Metazoa; Arthropoda; Insecta; Hymenoptera; Encyrtidae
Gene: SC35
Source: RefSeq, a predicted model, not a curated record